AUUGACGGUACCAUAGGAAUAAGCACCGGCUAACUCCGUGCCAGCAGCCGCGGUAAUACGGAGGGUGCAAGCGUUAUCCGGAUUCACUGGGUUUAAAGGGUGCGUAGGAGGGCAGGUAAGUCAGUGGUGAAAUCUCCGAGCUUAACUCGGAAACUGCCGUUGAUACUAUCUGUCUUGAAUAUCGUGGAGGUGAGCGGAAUAUGUCAUGUAGCGGUGAAAUGCUUAGAUAUGACAUAGAACACCAAUUGCGAAGGCAGCUCGCUACACGAAUAUUGACUCUGAGGCACGAAAGCGUGGGGAUCAAACAGGAUUAGAUACCCUGGUAGUCCACGCCCUAAACGAUGGAUACUCGACAUACGCGAUACACAGUGUGUGUCUGAGCGAAAGCAUUAAGUAUCCCACCUGGGAAGUACGACCGCAAGGUUGAAACUCAAAGGAAUUG
This 442-nucleotide ribosomal RNA is filed under the name uncultured Flavisolibacter sp. Its description in RNAcentral is "bacterial SSU rRNA". It matches the Rfam family "Bacterial small subunit ribosomal RNA", at positions 468 to 912 of the family's 1533-position model. The record is from RNAcentral. Lineage: Bacteria; Pseudomonadati; Bacteroidota; Chitinophagia; Chitinophagales; Chitinophagaceae.